AGUGAUGAUGAACCCCAGUGACUCUGAGUGUCUCACGCCAUCACUGCAGCAAGCUGACU
This 59-nucleotide small nucleolar RNA is filed under the name Canis lupus familiaris (dog). Its description in RNAcentral is "Small nucleolar RNA SNORD48 (ENSCAFG00000027127.2, ENSCAFG00805024506.1)". It matches the Rfam family "Small nucleolar RNA SNORD48". From Rfam's summary of the family: U48 belongs to the C/D class of snoRNA which contain the C (UGAUGA) and D (CUGA) box motifs. Most of the members of the box C/D family function in directing site-specific 2'-O-methylation of substrate RNAs. Lineage: Eukaryota; Metazoa; Chordata; Mammalia; Carnivora; Canidae. The record is from RNAcentral. RNAcentral also lists the same sequence under 1 other name.